AUAUGGCGGAAGGUAAUGGCGAACUAGUGGACGAAGUCUCCGGAAUGAAAUCGGAAGAUCGAGGCGAUGGAGAGAAAACAGAAGACUAUCCAAAAUUAAUCGAAUAUGGAUUAGAUAAAAAAGUUGCCGCUAAAUUAGAUGAUAUAUAUAAAACAGGUAAACUAGCACACGUUGAGUUAGAUGAACGUGCACUAGAUGCACUUAAAGAAUUUCCGGUAGAAGGUGCCUUGAAUGUAUUAAGUCAGUUCCUUGAAUCAAACUUGGAACAUGUAUCGAAUAAGUCUGCGUUUUUAUGUGGUGUUAUGAAAACAUAUAGACAAAAAAGUCGUGCUAGCCAACAGGGUGUACCUACGCCUACAACAACAGUGCCAGUUAAAGGUCCUGACGAAGAAAAAAUUAAAAAAAUUCUAGAACGUACACAUUAUACACUCGAUGUUACAACGGGUCAGCGAAAGUACGGGGGGCCACCACCAAAUUGGACGGGCCCAACGCCGGGCAACGGGUGCGAAGUAUUCUGCGGUAAAAUACCAAAGGAUAUGUUUGAAGAUGAACUAAUCCCGUUAUUCGAGGAAUGCGGUGUAAUAUGGGACCUUAGGCUAAUGAUGGAUCCGAUGACUGGCACAAAUCGCGGAUACGCUUUUGUUACGUUUACAACAAAAGAGGCAGCACAGAAUGCUGUGAAGAAGCUCGAUAACUACGAAAUAAAACCCGGCAAAUGUUUGAAAAUUAACAUAAGCGUACCGAAUCUACGCCUAUUUGUAGGCAACAUACCUAAAUCGAAAGGCAAAGAGGAGAUACUAGACGAAUUUGGUAAAUUGACAGCUGGCCUAGUGGAGGUUAUUAUUUAUAGUUCACCAGAUGAUAAGAAAAAGAAUCGAGGUUUUUGUUUUCUCGAAUACGAAUCACACAAGGCCGCGUCAUUGGCUAAGCGAAGGCUUGGAACCGGAAGAAUUAAGGUGUGGGGAUGUGAUAUAAUAGUAGAUUGGGCGGACCCACAGGAGGAACCCGAUGAACAAACGAUGAGUAAAGUCAAAGUAUUGUACGUUCGAAAUUUGACACAGGAUAUUAGUGAAGAGAAACUUAAGGAACAAUUCGAACAAUUCGGAAAAGUUGAAAGGGUCAAGAAGAUCAAAGACUAUGCCUUUGUUCAUUUUGAAGAUCGUGAUCAUGCUGUGCUUGCAAUGCGAAGUUUAAAUGGGAAAGAAGUUGGAAAUUCUAAUAUAGAAGUCUCACUAGCCAAACCGCCUUCAGAUAAAAAGAAAAAGGAAGAAAUCCUUCGAGCCAGGGAGCGCCGAAUGAUGCAGAUGAUGCAAAGCCGUACGGGAAUAAUGGGUAUGUCGCCGACGCAUCCUGCCGCUAUGAUGCCAAUACCACCUAUGCGAGGCAUACCCGGACCUGGACCUGGACGAAUCCCUCUGAGAGGACCAAUGGGCCGUGGCGAUUAUGAUUAUGAUUACGACUUUUAUGGUUAUUCGGAUUAUCGUGGUGGCUACAAUGAACCAUAUUAUGACGAUUUUUACCGAUCAUAUGAUGGAGAUUACUUCUUUGAUUAUCCUCCGAGCGGUGUAUCGCCAGUAGCCGCCGGAGGACCACAGAGAACAACCAGAAAUAAUUCGGAUGGACCAAAUGGCCUGUAUGGCAUGUAUGAACCUAUGUUCGAGGGGGUUGGUCAUGGCCGUGGAAUCACAGCGCGUGGCCGAGCCGUUGGGCUCCGUGGCAACACCAAUCGUCAGGGGGCCCCACCGGGUCAACGGGGGGCCACCGUGGGGGCUCAGGCAGCAACCGGGGGGGUCCGUGGGGCGGGUCAAACUCGUCUCAACGCACGUGGCACCCAGCGCGCCAAGCCGCUACCAAAUUUACCAGCAUCUAUUGCAGUGUAUGCGUAAAUCUAAAAAUCUGAAUAUAUCAAUCAAAAUUUUAUAGAAGAUUUUUUUUUUUUUCGAUUGAACAAUUAAUUACUAUUUCCAAAAAAGGAAAACAAAUUAUAAUGGUUUAGAGCAAGAGAGAGAGAGGGAGAGAGAAAAAAUAAGAAGAUUGAAAAGUACCAAAAUUGCUUGUUUAAUUCGAUGACAUCAAUCAAGAAAUCGAAAUUUUGUUUCAUUCACAAAAUACGUGAUUAGUAGUCGGUAAACGUAAAUUCGAUGGAGGUCACCCAAAUCCUGGAGAUUCAAAGCGACGUUAUGCAAGCGGUAUCAUAGGAAAUGGUGGUGGAAAUUGGGGCAGUCAACCAUUACCGCAACAACCUUUGGGCACAA
Molecule: unclassified non-coding RNA, 2255 nt
Filed under: Hermetia illucens (black soldier fly)
Lineage: Eukaryota; Metazoa; Arthropoda; Insecta; Diptera; Stratiomyidae
Description: heterogeneous nuclear ribonucleoprotein R, transcript variant X7
Source: RNAcentral